Molecule: ribosomal RNA, 498 nt
Filed under: Triticum aestivum (bread wheat)
Lineage: Eukaryota; Viridiplantae; Streptophyta; Magnoliopsida; Poales; Poaceae
Description: partial small subunit ribosomal RNA
Source: RNAcentral
AUGACGCUGUACCUCCACGACAUCCUCUACAACGGCGUCAACAACACCGCCAACGCGACCGCCGCGCCGGUCACCAAGCCGACGGACCUGAGCACGUCGCACUGGAGCAACGGCACCUUCUUCGGCAUGCUGGUGGUGUUCGACGACCUGGUGACGGAGGGGACGGCGCUGCCGGUCGGGGACGAGGAGCCGGCGGCGCGCGCGCAGGGCUUCUACUUCUACGACAAGGAGUCGUACAGCGGGUGGUUCUCCUUCUCACUCGUGUUCAACUCAAAGGCAUACAGGGGCACGCUCAACCUCAUGGGCGCCGAUCCCAUGGACGAGGAGACUCGUGACUUCUCCAUCGUCGGCGGCACCGGCGACUUCUUCAUGGCGCGCGGCAUCGCGACUAUCCGCACCGACGCCACCUGGGCUACUUCUACUUCCGCCUCAAGAUGGACAUCAAGCUCUACGAGUGCUACGUCUGAUCUGAUAAGUUAUGAAGAUGCAUGGUUAUAA